Molecule: ribosomal RNA, 471 nt
Filed under: Streptococcus mitis
Lineage: Bacteria; Bacillati; Bacillota; Bacilli; Lactobacillales; Streptococcaceae
Description: bacterial SSU rRNA
Rfam family: Bacterial small subunit ribosomal RNA
Source: RNAcentral
GACGAACGCUGGCGGCGUGCCUAAUACGUGCAAGUAGAACGCUGAAGGAGGAGCUUGCUCUUCUGGAUGAGUUGCGAACGGGUGAGUAACGCGUAGGUAACCUGCCUGGUAGCGGGGGAUAACUAUUGGAAACGAUAGCUAAUACCGCAUAAGAGUAGAUGUCGCAUGACAUUUGCUUAAAAGGUGCAAUUGCAUCACUACCAGAUGGACCUGCGUUGUAUUAGCUAGUUGGUGAGGUAACGGCUCACCAAGGCAACGAUACAUAGCCGACCUGAGAGGGUGAUCGGCCACACUGGGACUGAGACACGGCCCAGACUCCUACGGGAGGCAGCAGUAGGGAAUCUUCGGCAAUGGACGGAAGUCUGACCGAGCAACGCCGCGUGAGUGAAGAAGGUUUUCGGAUCGUAAAGCUCUGUUGUAAGAGAAGAACGAGUGUGAGAGUGGAAAAGUUCACACUGUGACGGUAUCUAC